GGAAUGAAAGCUGAGCACGUUACCUUUGAACCAUGGCCGUUUUCUGACUCAAUGGUAUUUAAAACAUCUAUUUGAAAUAAUUUACGGGUUAUCCUUUUAAAAGUAGGCCGGAUGAAAAAUAGUAAACAAUCAGCUUCUAAAAGUAAAAACAAAAGUUGUGAAAGCUGCCGUACGAAAUAAAUUAUCCUUGCCAUCAAUUUUGCAUACCAUGAAUUGAUAAUCUCCGUGUGAGUCGUAUCCGCAACAUUUAAAUUUGAACUUCGAAAAAGGAACAUACCUACAAAAUAUGUGGACCGUGAACAAGCCGCUGCAAUUUCUGUUACAAUACAAUCCAAUUUUAAAGAACUGCAGAAACAGAGUCUACAGGAGGAAGUUAUUGGCUGAUACCAGAAAACAAAAUUUAAGAAAAUUAUCAAAAUUGUUCGAUUUUUACGGAAAAUCGUCGCAUUCAACAUGGAAAAAUAAUGAGCUAAAUCGACCCACAUUUCCUAAGGAUCCAUCGAUCCGUCGAAAUA
Uranotaenia lowii is the source of this 515-nucleotide long non-coding RNA. RefSeq lists it as uncharacterized. The transcript has 3 exons. Lineage: Eukaryota; Metazoa; Arthropoda; Insecta; Diptera; Culicidae. The record is from RefSeq and is a predicted model, not a curated record.